GUGAUAGUUAUCAUUCUCUUUAUAGCAUAUUGCUUCCCAGAUUAUAUUCCAGAAACAGUGGGGAAUUUAUUGCAUCUUUUGUGGUUUGUAUUGAUUGCAUUGGUGUUAUAUUUAUUGUACCAUUUUGUUCCUGAAAUAGCAAGUAACCCUUUAACAGCAAUAUGGACUACUUUUAGAAGUAUAUUCAGGAAUAAUUGAUAACUUUUUAAGAUUUAUAAUAAUUAUUGAUUUUGACUGUGAAACAAUAUUUUUGAUUUAUUUCAAUAUGAAACUACUUUUAA
This is a long non-coding RNA of Amphimedon queenslandica, 281 nucleotides long. RefSeq lists it as uncharacterized. Lineage: Eukaryota; Metazoa; Porifera; Demospongiae; Haplosclerida; Niphatidae. The record is from RefSeq and is a predicted model, not a curated record. The transcript has 3 exons.